Molecule: ribosomal RNA, 137 nt
Filed under: uncultured eukaryote
Lineage: Eukaryota
Description: partial 18S ribosomal RNA
Rfam family: Eukaryotic small subunit ribosomal RNA
Source: RNAcentral
UGGUGGAGUGAUUUGUCUGCUUAAUUGCGAUAACGAACGAGACCUUGACCUGCUAAAUAGCCCCGUUCGCUUUGGCGGACGGCUGGCUUCUUAGAGGGACUUUUGGCUCAAGCCAAUGGAAGUACGAGGCAAAAACA